Molecule: transfer RNA, 72 nt
Filed under: Megalops atlanticus (tarpon)
Lineage: Eukaryota; Metazoa; Chordata; Actinopteri; Elopiformes; Megalopidae
Description: tRNA-OTHER
Source: RNAcentral
GGCACUGUAGCAUAGUGGUAAAGAGCAGGGCUUGUAACUGAAAGGUUGUGGGUUCGAUUCCCUGCUGGGGCA